Molecule: ribosomal RNA, 489 nt
Filed under: uncultured bacterium
Lineage: Bacteria
Description: partial 16S ribosomal RNA
Rfam family: Bacterial small subunit ribosomal RNA
Source: RNAcentral
GACGAACGCUGGCGGCGUGCUUAACACAUGCAAGUCGAACGGUGAAGGGAUCAGCUUGCUGGUUCUGGAUGAGUGGCGAACGGGUGAGUAACACGUGAGUAACCUGCCCCCUUCUUCUGGAUAACCGCAUGAAAGUGUGGCUAAUACGGGAUAUUCUGGGUCUGUCGCAUGAUGGGUCUGGGAAAGAUAUUGUUUCGGUGGGGGAUGGGCUCGCGGCCUAUCAGCUUGUUGGUGGGGUGAUGGCCUACCAAGGCGGUGACGGGUAGCCGGCCUGAGAGGGUGGACGGUGACACUGGGACUGAGACACGGCCCAGACUCCUACGGGAGGCAGCAGUGGGGAAUAUUGCACAAUGGGCGCAAGCCUGAUGCAGCGACGCCGCGUGAGGGAUGGAGGCCUUCGGGUUGUAAACCUCUUUCGCCAGUGAAGCAGGCCUGCUCCUUGUGGGUGGGUUGACGGUAGCUGGAUAAGAAGCGCCGGCUAACUACGUG